RNAcentral lists this ribosomal RNA (1033 nucleotides) under Gammarus dacicus. RNAcentral's name for it is "eukaryotic LSU rRNA". It matches the Rfam family "Eukaryotic large subunit ribosomal RNA", at positions 141 to 788 of the family's 3401-position model. Lineage: Eukaryota; Metazoa; Arthropoda; Malacostraca; Amphipoda; Gammaridae. The record is from RNAcentral.
GGAUGUUGCGUAAAGGGAAAGGUCGUAGUCAAACCCCACAGCCACGCGAACUCUAAGUCAGCCACGAAUAGGCUACCCCAACUAACGGCGGGAAUGACUCCACGGAGGGUGUAAGACCCGUGUGGGCGCGUGUUAAAGCUGUGUGGGCUCGGCCUCUCUUCCCUGAGAGUCGCGUUGCUUGAGCAUGCAGCGCUAAGCAGGUCGUAAACUCGAUCUAAGGCUAAAUAUGUCCACAGAACCGAUAGCGAACAAGUACCGUGAGGGAAAGUUGAAAAGCACUCUGGAGAGAGAGUCAAAAGACCGUGAAACCGCUCAGAGUAUAAGCCCAUGGCAGCUUGGAAGGCAUAUCGCUAGCGGGGCAUCGGUCUUCCUUCGCGGGGAGCCGGUGUUACCUUGCUUCUGUUGUGGCUCGUUAAGGUAGGGGGGUCAAGUCCACAUCCCGCCGCCGUGUGGGGGGUUCUUGGGGGUGUUGUGGUUUCUCGGUUGGCUUCGGCUGGCCGGGGGGCUCUUCGUGCUCGGUUCCUCUUUAGACACGAACGUUCAGACUCAGUUGCAAGACGCGAUAACCAGCCCACCACGGCACGUUGUGAGGUCACCCACAGGCUCGACUUUCGAUCGUGAACCUUGACGCCGAGCAAGCACAAUGCGUGUCGCAAAGGUUCCUAACCAGGCAAUGGCGCCAGGAUCGUGGAACGACACGCGCUCAACAGUCAGGUUCGGGCGAAGACAGAGUUCUGGUAUGAUCCUCUUGCGACGAGCCGCUUUCUGGCCGAUAUCCGAUGCUCAGGUCUCCCGCAUGUGCCGCGGGAGAUCGCUUUGACGGUCUGGAUCUCUUACGAGUCCUCUCAGUCGGGCAACGGAUAGAGUGGUGUAAAGUCCAAGCCCAUCGGUCACGUCUCGAAACACGGGCCAAGGAGUAUAGCAUGUGUGCAAGUCUAAGAGUCUCACAAAACUCGAAGGCGAAGUGAAAGCAAGUAAGCGGCGGGUGAUCUACGGAGAGAUCCCGUCAGCUAGAGGGGCCCCGAGGGCCUCU